AAGUCGUAACAAGGUUUCCGUAGGUGAACCUGCGGAAGGAUCAUUAACAUUUUCCAAAACCUUUCAACUCAACCCCAAACCCCGUGUUAUUUGUUAUCUCUCGCGUGUAUGUGAAACGAUCAGUCUUGCCGUUUUGAGGCUCAUAGCGUUCGCGGUACCUUUUUAGAGAGUGAUGCGUCCCCCCGUAUUGCUUGAAGAAUUGGGAAAGGAAGUCUUUUGCUUUGAAGCGAUGCGUUCGCAUGUAACAUAUAUGCACAAACCCCCCAAAUGUUUUCUUAUAGUAAUACCCCAAACCCCCUAAACAAGUUUUUUAGAACAGUAAAAGGUCACGGGACUAAUCGCCUGGGCCUGAUUUAUAGAAAUAUAAAUCGAACCUAUUUACAACUCUAAGCGAUGGAUGUCUCGGCUCUUAUAACGAUGAAGAACGCAGC
This 431-nucleotide unclassified non-coding RNA is filed under the name fungal sp. RNAcentral's name for it is "partial internal transcribed spacer region". The stretch from base 1 to 46 matches the Rfam family "Eukaryotic small subunit ribosomal RNA", at positions 1786 to 1831 of the family's 1831-position model. The record is from RNAcentral. Lineage: Eukaryota; Fungi.